GACGAACGCUGGCGGCGUGCUUAACACAUGCAAGCCGAACGGUAAGGCCCUUCUUUUGUGGGGUGCUCGAGUGGCGAACGGGUGAGUAACACGUAAGUUACCUUCCCUUGACUUUGGGACUUCUUCAGGAAACUUGGGCUCCUACUGGUAUGGUGCUCCUGCUGCAUGGUGGGGGAUGACAAGUUUGGGCGGAGGGGGAUGGGCUCGCGGUUUAUUAGCUGGUGGGUGAGGUAGUGGCUUAGCAAGGCAUCGACGGGUAGCCGGCCUGAGAGGGUGACCGGCAACAUUAGGACUGAGCUACGGCCCAGAGUCCUACGGGAGGCAGCAGUGGGGAAUAGUGCCCGAUGGGCCGAAGCCGGAUGCAGCAACGCCGCGUGAGGGAUGACGGCCUUCGGGUUGUAAACCGCUUUCGCACGUGACGGAGCGUGAGUGACGGUAAUGGGUAAAGAAGCACCGGCUAACUACGUG
RNAcentral lists this ribosomal RNA (468 nucleotides) under uncultured bacterium. Its description in RNAcentral is "partial 16S ribosomal RNA". It matches the Rfam family "Bacterial small subunit ribosomal RNA", at positions 28 to 507 of the family's 1533-position model. The record is from RNAcentral.